UACGGGGGGGGCAAGCGUUGUUCGGAAUUACUGGGCGUAAAGGGCUCGUAGGCGGCCAACUAAGUCAGACGUGAAAUCCCUCGGCUUAACCGGGGAACUGCGUCUGAUACUGGAUGGCUCGAGAUUGGGAGAGGGAUGCGGAAUUCCAGGUGUAGCGGUGAAAUGCGUAGAUAUCUGGAGGAACACCGGUGGCGAAGGCGGCAUCCUGGACCAACACUGACGCUGAAGAGCGAAAGCCAGGGGAGCAAACGGG
This 253-nucleotide ribosomal RNA is filed under the name uncultured bacterium. Its description in RNAcentral is "partial 16S ribosomal RNA". It matches the Rfam family "Bacterial small subunit ribosomal RNA", at positions 524 to 776 of the family's 1533-position model. The record is from RNAcentral.